GGGUAACGGCCCACCGAGGCGACGAUGCGUAGGGGUUCUGAGAGGAAGGUCCCCCACACUGGUACUGAGACACGGACCAGACUCCUACGGGAGGCAGCAGUGAGGAAUAUUGGUCAAUGGCCGGGAGGCUGAACCAGCCAAGUCGCGUGAGGGAAGACGGCCCUACGGGUUGUAAACCUCUUUUGUCAGGGAGCAAGAGGCGGGUCGAGACCUGCUGUGAGAGUACCUGAAGAAAAAGCAUCGGCUAACUCCGUGCCAGCAGCCGCGGUAAUACGGAGGAUGCGAGCGUUAUCCGGAUUUAUUGGGUUUAAAGGGUGCGCAGGCGGAGGCACAAGUCAGCGGUAAAAUCGCGGGGCUCAACCCCGCUCCGCCGUUGAAACUGUGUCCCUUGAGUGCGCGAAGGGUAGGCGGAAUGCGUGGUGUAGCGGUGAAAUGCAUAGAUAUCACGCAGAACUCCGAUCGCGAAGGCAGCCUACCGGCGCGCAACUGACGCUCAUGCACGAAAGCGUGGGUAUCGAACAGGAUUAGAUACCCUGGUAGUCCACGCAGUAAACGAUGAAUGCUAUCUGUCCG
This 573-nucleotide ribosomal RNA is filed under the name uncultured bacterium. RNAcentral describes it as "bacterial SSU rRNA". It matches the Rfam family "Bacterial small subunit ribosomal RNA", at positions 255 to 826 of the family's 1533-position model. The record is from RNAcentral.